CCUACGGGUGGCAGCAGUGGGGAAUAUUGGACAAUGGGCGAAAGCCUGAUCCAGCCAUGCCGCGUGUGUGAAGAAGGCCUUCGGGUUGUAAAGCACUUUCAGUGGGGAAGAAAGCCUUGGGGCUAAUACCCUAGAGGAAGGACAUCACCCACAGAAGAAGCACCGGCUAACUCCGUGCCAGCAGCCGCGGUAAUACGGAGGGUGCGAGCGUUAAUCGGAAUUACUGGGCGUAAAGCGCGCGUAGGCGGUCUGAUAAGCCGGUUGUGAAAGCCCCGGGCUCAACCUGGGAACGGCAUCCGGAACUGUCAGGCUAGAGUGCAGGAGAGGAAGGUAGAAUUCCCGGUGUAGCGGUGAAAUGCGUAGAGAUCGGGAGGAAUACCAGUGGCGAAGGCGGCCUUCUGGACUGACACUGACGCUGAGGUGCGAAAGCGUGGGUAGCAAACAGGAUUAGAUACCCCUGUAGUC
This 465-nucleotide ribosomal RNA is filed under the name Vreelandella stevensii. Its description in RNAcentral is "partial 16S ribosomal RNA". It matches the Rfam family "Bacterial small subunit ribosomal RNA", at positions 338 to 795 of the family's 1533-position model. Lineage: Bacteria; Pseudomonadati; Pseudomonadota; Gammaproteobacteria; Oceanospirillales; Halomonadaceae. The record is from RNAcentral.